This 200-nucleotide ribosomal RNA is filed under the name uncultured bacterium. Its description in RNAcentral is "partial 16S ribosomal RNA". It matches the Rfam family "Bacterial small subunit ribosomal RNA", at positions 29 to 257 of the family's 1533-position model. The record is from RNAcentral.
AGCGAACGCUGGCGGCAGGCCUAACACAUGCAAGUCGAACGAACCCUUCGGGGUUAGUGGCGGACGGGUGAGUAACACGUGGGAACGUGCCUUUAGGUUCGGAAUAGCUCCUGGAAACGGGUGGUAAUGCCGAAUGUGCCCUUCGGGGAAAGAUUUAUCGCCUUUAGAGCGGCCCGCGUCUGAUUAGCUUGUUGGUGAGG